UACGGAGGGGGCUAGCGUUAUUCGGAAUUACUGGGCGUAAAGCGCACGUAGGCGGCUUUGUAAGUCAGAGGUGAAAGCCUGGAGCUCAACUCCAGAACUGCCUUUGAGACUGCAUCGCUUGAAUCCAGGAGAGGUGAGUGGAAUUCCGAGUGUAGAGGUGAAAUUCGUAGAUAUUCGGAAGAACACCAGUGGCGAAGGCGGCUCACUGGACUGGUAUUGACGCUGAGGUGCGAAAGCGUGGGAGCAAACAGG
Molecule: ribosomal RNA, 252 nt
Filed under: uncultured bacterium
Lineage: Bacteria
Description: partial 16S ribosomal RNA
Rfam family: Bacterial small subunit ribosomal RNA
Source: RNAcentral